AACGGGUGAGUAAUGCAUACGGGAACGUCGCCAGUAGGUGGGAUAGCCGNAAGCCGGAUUAAUACCGCAUACGAUCUACGGAUGAAAGUGGGGGGAUCGCAAGACCUCAUGCUCAUGGAGCGGCCGAUAUCUGAUUAGCUAGUUGGUGGGGUAAAGGCCUACCAAGGCUUCGAUCAGUAGCUGGUCUGAGAGGACGACCAGCCACACUGGAACUGAGACACGGUCCAGACUCCUACGGGAGGCAGCAGUGGGGAAUAUUGGACAAUGGGCGAAAGCCUGAUCCAGCCAUGCCGCGUGUGUGAAGAAGGUCUUCGGAUUGUAAAGCACUUUAAGUUGGGAGGAAGGGUAGUAACCUAAUACGUUGCUACUUUGACGUUACCGACAGAAUAAGCACCGGCUAACUUCGUG
Molecule: ribosomal RNA, 408 nt
Filed under: uncultured bacterium
Lineage: Bacteria
Description: bacterial SSU rRNA
Rfam family: Bacterial small subunit ribosomal RNA
Source: RNAcentral